CUUAUUAAGAGUGGUGGAGUGAAUAGGCACUAUGAAACCCGGCAACCUGAAUAGGUGCUAAGUCCUACAGAGAGCUUCUCUGAAAGAUGAGG
Molecule: non-coding RNA, 92 nt
Filed under: Peptoniphilus obesi
Lineage: Bacteria; Bacillati; Bacillota; Tissierellia; Tissierellales; Peptoniphilaceae
Description: SAM riboswitch (S box leader)
Rfam family: SAM riboswitch aptamer (S box leader)
About the family: The SAM riboswitch is found upstream of a number of genes which code for proteins involved in methionine or cysteine biosynthesis in Gram-positive bacteria. The SAM riboswitch acts at the level of transcription termination control.
Source: RNAcentral